AGCCCAUCUCCAUUAUCACCUCCAGCUGCAGCCCAGAACCAGCUGAUGCUAGCAGAGAACCUUGGGAAGGAAGGGAGAAGGUAGUGAAAUAUGAGGGACAAUUCUAAAAUUGUUGUCUAAAGGCUGAAUUUUAUAUAAAGUAUGGAUGUUUCUUCUUACUUGUCUCUGAAGAUGAGGAUGGCAGCUAUUUUAAGGACCGUGCAACUACUGCCUAAGCCAAGAGUUUGGGCUUGGGGAUGCUCAUUGAACAAUUUGGAGGGAAGCUUGGACCCAGCACGUGAAUGAAGCAUGCAAAGUAUUGUGGCUGACCUAUCUGGUACCCAAACAGUCACCCCAGGAUACUGCUCAAAGAAGCUCGAGCUCCAGCUUGACUCAUCUGGGCUCUACUUUUCUCAUGAAAAGUGUAAACCAGAAAAUAAUGAGAUCACCCAUUCGUGAAUACUUCUAUUAGAGUUAAAUCUUUUUUUCCUUCCAUUUUGGGCCCAUAAUUGCAGAUUUUUUAGCUGCAUUUGUUGUUGUGGAUACUAAAGAAUUUGGUGCUUAAGUAUUGUUUCUUUGUUUCCAAGUGAUCUCAAUUCUCAUGAAUUCAAGUGAAGUCAUACAAAAUAUGGAGCACUGGAUAAUAUUUUGAUACAAGUAGGUCUGAAGCUUACUGCAGAAAUUUUAAAGACCUGUAUGGUUCAACAGGGAUCAGGCAAGAAAAAUCUUACCAGUUUGCCAGUUUAUCAUUUCUAGAAAUUCAGGAAACUAAUUUGACUACUAUGUUUGGAAAAUCUGUGUACUUGUUUUUCUUGCGCCAUCACAUUUAAAUAAGUUGCACAGUUAUGAGGUCUUGAUUUUUGUGACUGCGAGUAACAGCUUUGCUUGUACUCUCUUGACAUAUUGAGUUUGAAGAGCUCUUGUCUCCAAGCAGUCCAUUGCCAUGCUGAGAUCUGUUUUGUCAAUGACUACAGGAUGCUUCACUCUGUAUGCAUAUCUGUUGGGAAAGUGCUAAUUUUCCUGGCAAGUGAAGGACUGAACAUCUGCCAGUCUUCACUUUCCAGGCAGCAAACAAUGUGAGGAAACCGUUUUCCAUGCUGUUGAGGUGUCACUACUGUCACACUGCGUAUUAAUACUGAGUGGGAGACAUAUUCAUGCUGAAGUACUGAAUGGUCACUUUGUUGAACUACGUAGCCUGAUUUUGUCAAUCAAUUAAACCUUAAUUUAAUAGUCCUUUUUUAAACAAACAAGAAAAACAGCACGACACCAAC
Molecule: long non-coding RNA, 1250 nt
Filed under: Phasianus colchicus (ring-necked pheasant)
Lineage: Eukaryota; Metazoa; Chordata; Aves; Galliformes; Phasianidae
Description: lncRNA (ENSPCLG00000011131.1)
Source: RNAcentral